This 1031-nucleotide long non-coding RNA is filed under the name Homo sapiens (human). Its description in RNAcentral is "novel transcript". The record is from RNAcentral. Lineage: Eukaryota; Metazoa; Chordata; Mammalia; Primates; Hominidae.
GGCUCUAUUCAGUCAAGGGGUGAUGAACUCUCUUUGGGUCUGGAGACAGGCUGGAACUGGGAUGAGAUAUGGAGACCCUGCCAUUUACGACAACGUGGAUGUAUCUGCAGGACAUUAAGACAAGUGCAAUAAGCAAGACACGGAAAGAAAAUAUAGCAUGGUCUCUCUUAUAUGUGGAAUUUUAAAAAUUAACUCUGAAUACUUUGGAUUAAACUGAUGCAGCAGUCAUCCAAGAGAUGUCCACAUAUGUACUCCUGUUAAUGUUAGUUCCUUUCAUCCAAGCCAUCAGAGGUUCUCCCUGGAUCUCAUUUUUGGGAGUAGCUGACUUUUUCAUUCUCUGCUGGAGCGUUUGGGCUGAUUCAUCACCCCCUCCCCCACCACCAUUCACUGAAUGUAGCCACUGGUCGUGGCUGCCUUUUCUGCUAUUUUAUAGAACCAAGCCUGAAUCUAUAAAGCGCUUCCCUUGGUACCUCCCAGAAACUUUUUAUUGCCUGUCUCUUUCUGUCAACUCAGUUGCAGAAAAAUACAUUUUAUGGCUCCAGUAAUUUAAGAAAGCUCUGAAAAAUCAAAUCUGUCCAUGGCAGUGCUAGCAUACUGUCUAUUAGAUUAAAUGAAGCUGUAAGCAUCUUUGAAGUACAAAUGAUACUUGGAAAGUAAAUGAAACUGGGAAUACUUGCAAGUAAAAUAUGGGAAGUCAAAGAGAUUAAAGGAUGAGAACCAGAAAUUGCUUAUGGCCAGUGUCCUGAGUAAGCCUCAGAAUCGCAUCCUAGAAGCAUCAAGUUCUUGUGUUACCCUAUGGAUCUAAAAAACGACUUCCUUAGUUUGAUGUAGUCUGCAGACAUCUCAUCAUCACAAAAACUUGAAAGCACUUACAGCACUAAGAAACUACCUUUGCAGAUUGUAAAAAAAGAUAGAAUCCUACUUAGUGUUUUGAUCACACCUGCCUAUUUCCCCAAGGUUUUACUGCAGGGUUAAAGAAUGAAUAAGCAUCUAGUUAUAUUUAAUAAACUCCAUGCCUUAUGGCUGAUUCU